CUUGCACAGUAUAUGUCCUCUCCCCCUGCUCCCCCUUCUUCCCCUUGGCCCAAUGAAUCUCCACAUCCAGUUCUCGUGAAUUGGUGUCUGACUUUUUACACCUGAACUGGCCCACAAUCUCCUCUCCAGGGGCAAGCUCGAUAGGGUCGCGAAGAAGGAAGACGACCUGUUUCCAAAGAAGGGGUGAGGGGCUCUACAGGACAUGUGUACUCGUCAUCACCAAACUGUCGAAUGUCGACAGGAUAGCUAGCGGGAAAGUGAGAAGCAUCGCCACUGAGCGGGGAGAAGAAUGUGUCAAAGUGGGUGAGGAAAGCGCGGACGGUGGUCGGCGUCUCUGAUGUCGAGGAGAGAAUGAAGGUCACCACCUCCUCCUCAUCGACAACUUCAGUGAGACCCUCGUCGAAACCGACCGCGUUCAUCGUGGAAAGGUCAAAGCCGUACACAGAGUUCCAAAAUUUGACUCUUUCACGAUAAACGCGGUCUCCGGUGAUAGCACUGAGAACAAGGCGCGUUUGAGAUGGAGCCAUGAGACCGUUCGGCGCAAGGAAUCGGUCGCGAGCGCUGUACAUCAAAUAGUCAGCAAGCAGACUUCCAAGCGUUGGACUGCAGCACGUACACCAAGACGGAGUCAAGCAUAGAUUCGUAAAGCAACAUGUAACCCAUCCACUCGCUAACGAUAACAUCCACUUCCGUGACAGGAAGCUGGAUAUCCUCCACCUUGCCUUGGAUGACGGUGAUCACAUCGGUAAAUCCAUUCUUUUGAAUGUUUUCCCGAGCCUUGACGGCCAAUCCGGAGGCUUCGAUCGCAUACACAUGCUUGGCCCCCGCUUUGGCAGCGAGCACUGAUGCAGAUUAUCAGAUACCGGUACCACAUCCAACAUCCAUCACAACAGCACCCCUAAAAACUUGAGGGUUCGACAAAAGGAAACGGGCAUAAGAAACCGUUCGGACGGUAUCCUUGAGCAUGAUCUCGUGAAUGUCUAAUGGCUUAUUAGCGAAAAGAUAUCUCUGGAAGCGAGGGGUUUGAUUCUCACCAUUCUCCUCGUAAGAAUGAAAAUAAUGCGUGUCAUCAUCCCUUUCAACCGCCUUGCCCUUUCCUUUCCCAUCCACCUUGACUUGUCUCUCCUCGGACUCGUCGUCCUCCGAUCCAAUAGUCUUGGUAACCAACAACUGCAUUGCCGCAAGGUCUUUCCUCGCCUUUUCCAACUCGGCUUCGAGAAGUGUUACUUUUUGAGAUUCGGGAGAUUGAACGUCCUUUGAAGGGCCAGCAGAGGAAGCUUGAGGCGGCUCGUCAUCGUCGGACCAAAAGUCGUCAAAGUCAUAUUCUACAAAGUAAAUUAGAUUUAUUUAUUUAUUUUUUUCACGAGGUCAACUUUUUUUAAU
This 1383-nucleotide small RNA is filed under the name Cryptococcus neoformans H99. RNAcentral describes it as "Cryptococcus neoformans var. grubii H99 hypothetical RNA". The record is from RNAcentral. Lineage: Eukaryota; Fungi; Basidiomycota; Tremellomycetes; Tremellales; Cryptococcaceae.